CUUCCCGUAAGGUGAACCUGCGGAAGGAUCAUUAAAGAUUAUGAAUGAAUAGAUUACUGGGGGAUCGUCUGAACAAGGCCUGCGCUUAAUUGCGCGGCCAGUUCUUGAUUCUCUGCUAUCAGUUUUCUAUUUCUCAUCCUAAACACAAUGGAGUUUUUUCUCUAUGAACUACUUCCCUGGAGAGCUCGUCUCUCCAGUGGACAUAAACACAAACAAUAUUUUGUAUUAUGAAAAACUAUUAUACUAUAAAAUUUAAUAUUCAAAACUUUCAACAACGGAUCUCUUGGUUCUCGCAUCGAUGAAGAACGCAGCGAAUUGCGAUAUGUAUUGUGAAUUGCAGAUUUUCGUGAAUCAUCAAAUCUUUGAACGCACAUUGCGCCCUCUGGUAUUCCAGGGGGCAUGCCUGUUUGAGCGUCAUUUCUCUCUCAAACCUUUGGGUUUGGUAGUGAGUGAUACUCGUCUCGGGUUAACUUGAAAGUGGCUAGCCGUUGCCAUCUGCGUGAGCAGGGCUGCGUGUCAAGUCUAUGGACUCGACUCUUGCACAUCUACGUCUUAGGUUUGCGCCAAUUCGUGGUAAGCUUGGGUCAUAGAGACUCAUAGGUGUUAUAAAGACUCGCUGGUGUUUGUCUCCUUGAGGCAUACGGCUUUAACCAAAACUCUCAAAGUUUGACCUCAAAUCAGGUAGGAGUACCCGCUGAACUUAAGCAUAUCAAUAAAGCCGGGAGGA
RNAcentral lists this ribosomal RNA (727 nucleotides) under Kluyveromyces marxianus. RNAcentral describes it as "eukaryotic LSU rRNA". The stretch from base 264 to 417 matches the Rfam family "5.8S ribosomal RNA". Lineage: Eukaryota; Fungi; Ascomycota; Saccharomycetes; Saccharomycetales; Saccharomycetaceae. The record is from RNAcentral.